This 1648-nucleotide small RNA is filed under the name Drosophila ananassae. RNAcentral describes it as "GF27939". The record is from RNAcentral. Lineage: Eukaryota; Metazoa; Arthropoda; Insecta; Diptera; Drosophilidae.
CAAAAUAAGUGCAGACACAAAAUAAAAUCGAACACAAACAUCGAAUGCCCUUAGAAUAAACUGUGAAAUUGUAAAACUCAUUAAAAUGACAAUGGAAUAAAUAAAUAUUAUUGACUUUGGUUUAUUGGUUGUGGAUCGAGCCUGCGACUGGCAGGACUAUUAUGGAAAUUAAUUAAAUUACGCACAGAUAUGGAUACUAGAUGGGCAGAUACGAGGAUAAUUGCCAGUUCAGGACCAGAAUAUAAUAACUAGAUAUUAUUAAGCAUUAUAUUUGAGUUAAAUGGCUCGAAAUGAGAAGGAAGUUGCCCCCAUUAAAGGGGUAAACUGUUGCUAAGCCCCCCAAAAGGGUUCCUUGGCCCCCAAAGGCAAACACCGGGGCCAUGGCUAAUAGUGUGAAAACAAAGCAAGGACCUCCACGAAACUGAAACCCAAAAGAGAGCCCACCAACAAGGCCACAAAGGACAACAAAAAAAAUAAGAAAUAUAGAAGAAAAUAUCGUAAAAUACUAAGCGUAAAAUAUAAAAAAAUGUUAUUAGCAUUAAGAAAUGGCCAAGUGUCUUACACACAAGUACAGUAACAGGAAUGCGGCUGGAGAAUGGCAGGAAACAGCAGGGAUCGCCACUAAAAACUGAAAGCGAACCAAAAUUUAACCAAUUUAUGGACUAAGCCCUCCUAAAACACUCUAUAAAGGCCUAUAAUAAUAGAAUGUCAAUGAAAAUGAUAUUAUUCGGUAAUAAGGCGAGGACGUAACAUAAGAAAAUUGUGAUUCCGCCGUAAAUUCUGUCGUCUUCGUGUUAAUUACAUGAACUCAAGCAUGACACCAUUUUGCACAACACUUAUACAGGGCCCACCCCUUAGGGGUGGUAGUGGGAGUUAUGGGCUCGUGACAGAGCCUAACGACAGAAAUCGACAGGCCCGAACAUGCAAAUCAAAUUAUUUUGGAAUAUAAAAUGCUUAUUAACGGAUUAUAUGCUCACUCAAUAUGACUUGGAGAGUGGAGAGAGUGAGAGAGUGGAGAGUGCCUCCCUUUUGGAUCUCCUAUUAAUGGCCGAUAACUUUAUUUAUCGACCAGCCUAGGCUAUCGAAAUAAAUGACACCACCAGGCAACCGGAAGUUAAAGUUACAAAAAAUGUCAGAUUUUGAAGAAGAAAUGGAGACUGAUGGAUGUCCUGGUUAAUAAUCAGGUGACGAAGAAAGGCACUCCCCCUCAAAGACAAAACACCAGGAGAAAAAGAAAUGGAAAGCCCGCCAUUAUGGCAAUUUAAUCGACCGGAAAUAAAGUUCUUAAGCAUCAUAAACAAGAUUUAAUGUGACAAAAAGGCAAAUCACAGUCGGAGGAAGGCGCUUCCCAAAGCCUCGCACAAAAUGUCAAAUGCCAUUUGGCCCAGAGGCGGCGACAAACAAGCCAAAAUGACACCUCCUCCCCAGGACUCUCGCUUCAGCCCUCCAUCCCAGGACAACCCUUACCUUUUCGCAAAAAAACAAAUAAAAAGAAAAGUAUCAACUAUGGGGGGGAUGGAAUGUCUUCGCGGUCUAGUUACAAUUUCAAGAGUUUUCUGUUUUUGGAAAAAAAGUGUCUCCCUAAUCUUCAUUGACUGGAUUGCUUAACAUAUAUGUCUUAUAUAUUUUGCAUAUAUAUUUAUGUGUG